This 77-nucleotide transfer RNA is filed under the name Methylobacterium sp. RNAcentral describes it as "tRNA-Asp". It matches the Rfam family "tRNA". Rfam says of the family: Transfer RNA (tRNA) molecules are approximately 80 nucleotides in length. Their secondary structure includes four short double-helical elements and three loops (D, anti-codon, and T loops). Further hydrogen bonds mediate the characteristic L-shaped molecular structure. tRNAs have two regions of fundamental functional importance: the anti-codon, which is responsible for specific mRNA codon recognition, and the 3' end, to which the tRNAs corresponding amino acid is attached (by aminoacyl-tRNA synthetases). tRNAs cope with the degeneracy of the genetic code in two manners: having more than one tRNA (with a specific anti-codon) for a particular amino acid; and 'wobble' base-pairing, i.e. permitting non-standard base-pairing at the 3rd anti-codon position. RNAcentral also lists the same sequence under 24 other names. The record is from RNAcentral. Lineage: Bacteria; Pseudomonadati; Pseudomonadota; Alphaproteobacteria; Hyphomicrobiales; Methylobacteriaceae.
GCGGGCGUAGCUCAGUCGGUUAGAGUGCCGGCCUGUCACGCCGGAGGUCGCGGGUUCGAGUCCCGUCGCCCGCGCCA